CCAGCAAUGCCGCGUGAGUGAAGAAGGCCUUCGGGUUGUAAAGCUCUUUUGUCAGGGAAGAAACGGUGAGCUCUAAUACAGUUUGCUAAUGACGGUACCUGAAGAAUAAGCACCGGCUAACUACGUGCCAGCAGCCGCGGUAAUACGUAGGGUGCAAGCGUUAAUCGGAAUUACUGGGCGUAAAGCGUGCGCAGGCGGUUUUGUAAGUCUGUCGUGAAAUCCCCGGGCUCAACCUGGGAAUGGCGAUGGAGACUGCAAGGCUAGAGUUUGGCAGAGGGGGGUAGAAUUCCACGUGUAGCAGUGAAAUGCGUAGAUAUGUGGAGGAACACCGAUGGCGAAGGCAGCCCCCUGGGUCAAAACUGACGCUCAUGCACGAAAGCGUGGGGAGCAAACAGGAUUAGAUACCCUGGUAGUCCACGCCCUAAACGAUGUCUACUAGUUGUCGGGUCUUAAUUGACUUGGUAACGCAGCUAACGCGUGAAGUAGACCGCCUGGGGAGUACGGUCGCAAGAUUAAAACUCAAAGGAAUUGACGGGGACCCGCACAAGCGGUGGAUGAUGUGGAUUAAUUCGAUGCAACGCGAAAAACCUUACCUACCCUUGACAUGGAUGGAAUCCUUGAGAGA
This 625-nucleotide ribosomal RNA is filed under the name Oxalobacteraceae bacterium Se3Ps_2687. RNAcentral describes it as "bacterial SSU rRNA". It matches the Rfam family "Bacterial small subunit ribosomal RNA", at positions 388 to 1006 of the family's 1533-position model. Lineage: Bacteria; Pseudomonadati; Pseudomonadota; Betaproteobacteria; Burkholderiales; Oxalobacteraceae. The record is from RNAcentral.